RNAcentral lists this ribosomal RNA (301 nucleotides) under uncultured bacterium. Its description in RNAcentral is "partial 16S ribosomal RNA". It matches the Rfam family "Bacterial small subunit ribosomal RNA", at positions 509 to 809 of the family's 1533-position model. The record is from RNAcentral.
CAGUCGCCACGGGAAUACAGAGGGUGCGAGCGUUAAUCGGAUUUACUGGGCGUAAAGCGUGCGUAGGCGGCUAAUUGAGUCGGAUGUGAAAUCCCCGAGCUUAACUUGGGAAUUGCAUUCGAUACUGGUUAGCUAGAGUGUGGGAGAGGAUGGUAGAAUUCCAGGUGUAGCGGUGAAAUGCGUAGAGAUCUGGAGGAAUACCGAUGGCGAAGGCAGCCAUCUGGCCUAAUACUGACGCUGAGGUACGAAAGCAUGGGGAGCAAACAGGAUUAGAGACCCCGGUAGUCCCUGUCUCUUAUAA